UGCAAGUGAGUAUGAGUUGAAGAGCGCGCUACGCGGAGUGGGAAAAUAAACAAGGUAUGCUUGCUGUCGCGUGUUGAGUGUUGGGUCGGUAGACAAGCGAGUUGGUUCUAUGAAUGAUUUGUUGGGUUGAGCGUUAUGUGGGGGGCAGUUGAGUGGAAGUUUGCCUGCAAAUGUGCAUUGGGACUCACAUGUUUGUAUGUAUUUGUAAGCUUUGAUAAUUUUUAUUACACAAAAUGCAUUUCCAUGUAUUUGUGUAUUUUUUCUAGCUUCAUUAGUGACUUGCGCUUGUGUGCGCUCCUGUAUGUACAAAAUAUAUUUGACUUUAUUUGUGUUUCCAUUCUGAGCGCCAAUAUAUUGCCCACUUUUUUAAAUAAAUUCAAAGAGCGCCAAGUCAACAGCGCUAGUGAGCGCUGAGUUAAUAUUCUGCGAAUUCUCCCCUUUAUCGUGUGUUUAACGGCUUGCAAUUGGGCAGCGCUUUGGCUUUAUGGAAAUCGCAUGGAGCUUGGUUUUUUUAUUUAACAUCUGAGCUCUCACUCCCAACAUAAUGGUGCUGCACUCGCAAAAAUUUUAGGAGAAUUUUAUGGAAGCUCUCAAAAACUUAUCGGGACUCACGGCGAAAUUAUAAAUUACGGGCAAUUAAAAUAUAAUCAGAUGAUCCAAAAGCGUUCAGACAUCGCGCGCCCAUAAGCACUCAUACUCCACAGCAACCAAAAAGCGAGUGCUCUCUUUAUUCUGCUUUGUAUGAAGUCAAGUCAGGCGCGCGCUCUCUCUCUCCCACUCUCGCGCAAUCUUUGUUGAGAACUUCUUUGCUGCAAUUAUUGCAUUUUUUAUGAAAACUCCUCAUACGCUGGAGCGCGCCAUCUCAACCAUGCAUUCUAGCUGUCUUGAAAUGCUUGCACUGUUGGCUGCUCGUCACUGCAAUACAUUGCCAAACAGCUUGAGUGCAAUUUUUUCGUACUUUCCUACAUGCGCGUCCAGCCCUCCUCCUGUCAAUUGCGGGAAAUGCAGUGCGCGCUAAAUUCUGUCGCUGCUGCUUUGAAGGCUGCUGCUGCGUUUUUUGUUGUUCUUGACGAUUCAAAGCCGCGUCGUGCUUGGCAGUGUGUUGUGUUAUAAUUUUUAUAGUCGAGUCGGCUCGGCAGUCGCAAAAACGCAACGCAUCCGAUAUGCAACGGAACGCAUUUUCGGACGCGGCCCGAGUCGAUCCGAGUAAGCGGCGUCCGAUCGCGCGUUCAACAAUUGUUUUUUUGAAAACUAAACAUUUUUGUUGAGCAGCCGCCACCGCCAACGCCACCACCGCUGCCUUGUGGCAUGCAACGCGUAGAAAUUGAAUUAAAAGAGCGUAAAAAGAAGUUAUUGAAAUUAAAGAAAUCAUACAAAUUGUAAGCAUAUCGAGCCAAGUAGAGCUGCAACAAUAAACAAAAUAGCAUACAUACAAACAUACAUAUAUAUAUAUAUAUAUAGUUACAAACA
This is a long non-coding RNA of Ceratitis capitata (Mediterranean fruit fly), 1470 nucleotides long. RefSeq lists it as uncharacterized. The record is from RefSeq and is a predicted model, not a curated record. Lineage: Eukaryota; Metazoa; Arthropoda; Insecta; Diptera; Tephritidae. The transcript is spliced from 3 exons.